Molecule: ribosomal RNA, 253 nt
Filed under: uncultured bacterium
Lineage: Bacteria
Description: partial 16S ribosomal RNA
Rfam family: Bacterial small subunit ribosomal RNA
Source: RNAcentral
AACGUAGGAGACAAACGUUAUCCGGAGUUACUGGGCGUAAAGGGCGUGUAGGUGGUUUCGUAAGUCUGGCGUGAAAUUUUUCGGCUUAACCGGGAAAGGUCGUCAGAUACUGCAGAACUAGAGGACGGUAGAGGCGUGUGGAAUUCCGGGUGUAGUGGUGAAAUGCGUAGAGAUCCGGAGGAACACCAGUGGCGAAGGCGACACGCUGGGCCGUACCUGACACUGAUGCGCGACAGCAUGGGGAGCAAACAGG